This 719-nucleotide ribosomal RNA is filed under the name uncultured bacterium. RNAcentral describes it as "bacterial SSU rRNA". It matches the Rfam family "Bacterial small subunit ribosomal RNA", at positions 130 to 866 of the family's 1533-position model. The record is from RNAcentral.
CUCAUACAGGGGGAUAACAGUUAGAAAUGACUGCUAAUACCGCAUAAGCGCACGGAAUCGCAUGAUUCAGUGUGAAAAGCCGAGACGGUAUGAGAUGGACCCGCGUCUGAUUAGGUAGUUGGUGAGGUAACGGCCCACCAAGCCGACGAUCAGUAGCCGACCUGAGAGGGUGACCGGCCACAUUGGGACUGAGACACGGCCCAAACUCCUACGGGAGGCAGCAGUGGGGAAUAUUGCACAAUGGGGGAAACCCUGAUGCAGCGACGCCGCGUGAGUGAAGAAGUAUUUCGGUAUGUAAAGCUCUAUCAGCAGGGAAGAAGAUGACGGUACCUGAGUAGGAAGCCCCGGCUAACUACGUGCCAGCAGCCGCGGUAAUACGUAGGGGGCAAGCGUUAUCCGGAUUUACUGGGUGUAAAGGGAGCGUAGACGGUGAAGCAAGUCUGGAGUGAAAACCCGGGGCUUAACCCCGGGAUUGCUUUGGAAACUGUUUAACUGGAGUGCAGGAGAGGUAUGCGGAAUUCCUAGUGUAGCGGUGAAAUGCGUAGAUAUUAGGAGGAACACCAGUGGCGAAGGCGGCUUACUGGACUGUAACUGACGUUGAGGCUCGAAAGCGUGGGGAGCAAACAGGAUUAGAUACCCUGGUAGUCCACGCGGUAAACGAUGAUUACUAGGUGUAGGUGGGUAUGGACCCAUCGGUGCCGCAGCUAACGCAGUAAGUA